Molecule: long non-coding RNA, 3258 nt
Organism: Papaver somniferum (opium poppy)
Lineage: Eukaryota; Viridiplantae; Streptophyta; Magnoliopsida; Ranunculales; Papaveraceae
Exons: 4
Source: RefSeq, a predicted model, not a curated record
UUCCUUUUAUUUCUUUCUUUCAUAACUUUCCAAAUUGUUUCUGCUUCGAUUCAAUGGUCUGGUUAUACUAAACACCAUUUAAAUUUUUACUUCAAAUCAAUAUCUUGAUUAUUUGGGAAUUUUUUCUUAACCACAGGUUUGAUAGAUUUUGCUCGUAAACAUUCUCCAAAGUACCAUGCUUUUAACGAUUUUGCAUGAAAAGAAUUUGGUUUGAAAUCGUAGGCUUUAUGCUUUUUAAUUCUCGCAUAUUGUAUUGCAUGUGAUUUCGAAUGGAGUUUUGUAGAAAUUAAGGUUUGUUUUCAUAUCCUUCUACCUGUUUGCUAAAAUGAUUCAAAGAGCUAGAUGCUUAAAUUUCAGUUUUUACCCAGUAAAUGACAGAAUUCGUUCUUAGAUUUGAAUAUUGGUUGCGGCUUGAAUUAGUGAACAGACUCAUCUUGUUUUCGUUUUAAACAUUACCACUUGAUUUAGUUUUUUUAUUAAAUGGGUAUUCAGAACUCCCAUCAGGAGUAAAGUUUAUGAUUUGUGUUUUAAAAUUUGAAUAAGCUCUUGCAUUAUUAAUUUAACUUCUGCCAUAAUCAAAAUUGGGAAUUUUCUAUGAAUUUUGCAUUUUCUCCUCACCCUGUGACUUUAAUAUUUCAAUUAAAAAAUUUGUUUACGCCACUAGUUUGGUUCAUUUCAAUCCCUUUUUGCAACUAACUUGUAAAACAUGCUGACAGUAUAAGUUGGCCCCUUUGAUUUGUGUUUUCAUGGUUAAUAAAUUCCCUAUUUGCUAUUGAAGGUGUAUGCAUUUGGCAGGACUUCGCGAGAUGUUUUUCUUAUGUGUAUUUCAGUAGCCUAUAAGCCUUACUCCCUUGUGAAAUGUUGUAAUGUAUAUUGUGAGGUUUUCCUUCUUGUGAACAAGCCUAAAUAGGAAACUAGCCGACUCUACUAUAGGAAUGUCAGGCCUUAAUUGGCCCCCCACCUACGGGUGGCAACCCGGAAGACCGUUAGCUGUAACGGUAGCUGGUAUCUGACUACCCUGACAUCGGCGCUGGCCAAAAGAAUAGUAGAGUAACCUAACGUGAUUUACAGCUCUUCAUCUUUUUAUGAAUUUAAAUUGUACUUGGAAGAGAGGUUACGGAAGUAAGCUUAGGAAGAGCUUAUGGCUAGUAGUUGUGAGCAAAAGUUGGUAUUUUGCUCGUAUCUUUAAUAUGUAUAUCACGGGGCUACUGGUGUUGUUGGGUUCGUUUACAUUUUUCACUUUUUUUUAUCCUCUGUAAAUAUGGAUGUCAAUUGAUCUUGUUUUAGUACUGUUUGUUCAUUUCUUUUUUUGAACUAUUACUUAAGGGUGCCAUAUGCAAUAUACUCAUAUACUGUCUGUUCAUAUACUCCUUUGCUCUUUGAGCUAAAACCCCCCACUCAGAUAAGAGAAUACGGUAGUGGCGUUUGAAUUUUGGAAAGCAUUUUGAAUAUUCUUUCUUUUGUUUUGAAUUAACUGGGGAUAUUAGUUGCCAUGUUGGCUAGGUUUGAUACUUGUUAUGUUUCAAUUAUGUGCAGUCCUUUUUACUUGUCAAAUUAUAGAUCUUGUUUGUUGCGAGAAAUGCUAGUAGAGUUUAUAACGUUUUCUCUUUGGUUUUGUUCGAGGCAACGGACUAAAGGUUUUCAUUUUAAAUCUCAAACAAAUUUCAGUACCGAAUUUUUGUAAAUUUUACUAGUAUGUGACACUCUCUUUAUGUAUCUUUUGUAUUUAUGUAUCAUUUUAUAUUUCGAGUGACGCGACCGGGUUUUUAACCUUACUGGACGGGUUGAAACCCAGCCCGUUAGAAGGGUAAAUUCUCCGAUCCGUUACAGUUGGCAUCAGAGCGACGUUCCGAUUAACUUGGACUGUGAGUUUUGGACUUACUAUUUUUCCGGUGUUGUGUGUUUAUUUUAUACAUAAAAUAAAAUGAUUUUGGUUUCUAAACUCUGAAUAUUUCCUUUUGGUUUUGUUUCUUGAAUGUUUUACAACAUUUAUAGUUAAAAAAUUAGCUUUAUCGAUUUCCAUUGUUUCGGGGACUGGGAAAACCCUGUGAUAUACAUACCAUUAGGCGUGUUAGUAAUGUACACUACUAACCAAUUAUAAAUCUGACGCUCGUUCUGUUUUGAAGAUAUCUGCGGUGCUCGAAAUAUGUAGCUUUAAGCUCCGUACGUAAUAAGAAGGAUCAAGUCAAGAGUUUAGAAGGAUCAAGUCAAGAGUUUAGAACGGUUUGAGAAAUGUAGAACAGCUGGUAGGUUAUGGGUUGAGUAUUGUCGCCGUUAAGGAUCUCAUCCAGUACUGGUAUAGACUUGAGGGGAUUUAAUAAAUAUGUGGGAAAUGGCGAAACAUUUAGUGGGACAGAUGAUUCUCUCGAAGCAGAGAGUGGUUGAUAGGUAUUGAGGAUGAGUUGAUUUUGUGAAAGUAUCGGAAAGAAGAAGGUCAGGCUUGCAGUGAGAGAGAUUUUCGUGGUACGUGAAAUUCCUUCGUCAACCAUUUAGAGCGACCUGUUCUUCACGUCCAAGUAUUAGGGGAGUUUCCGGAAAGCUAUGGGCAUCGAGCUAGAUUUGAUUAUCGCUCUCAGUAAACGGUCAGAGUGAACUUCUCAAAAUUUGGAAGACAUGUUGCAGACACAUGUACGACUUCAAAGACAAUUGGAGGGUCCUCUCAAGAUGUUUCAUAUAUCCAAGCUUUGAAGACGCGACAUUGACCCUUAUCACGUGAUUAGAUGACAAGAUUUGUAGCCGCGCAAAAUUGUUACUUAUGAUCAAAAGUCGGUACUCGUUAUCGUUAUCAGCUGGAUCAAGUCCUUCGGGUUAAAACCAUUUAGAUGACGAAAAAAGCGUGACAUCAUCACUCUCUAGAAGAAGCUUAAAGGAAGCUGGAGUUCGACAGGAGGGACAAGUAACCGGGCUACUGGAAGAUUUUGGAAGACUUGGAAGAGAGGUUACGGAAGUAAGCUUAGGAAGAGCUUAUGGCUAGUAGUUGUGAGCAAAAGUUGGUAUUUUGCUCGUAUCUUUAAUAUGUAUAUCACGGGGCUACUGGUGUUGUUGGGUUCGUUUACAUUUUUCACUUUUUUUUAUCCUCUGUAAAUAUGGAUGUCAAUUGAUCUUGUUUUAGUACUGUUUGUUCAUUUCUUUUUUUGAACUAUUACUUAAGGGUGCCAUAUGCAAUAUACUCAUAUACUGUCUGUUCAUAUACUCCUUUGCUCUUUGAGCUAAAACCCCCCACUCAGAUAAGAGAAUACGGUAGUGGCGUUUGAAUUU